This 494-nucleotide ribosomal RNA is filed under the name uncultured bacterium. RNAcentral describes it as "partial 16S ribosomal RNA". It matches the Rfam family "Bacterial small subunit ribosomal RNA", at positions 28 to 507 of the family's 1533-position model. The record is from RNAcentral.
GACGAACGCUGGCGGCGUGCCUAAUACAUGCAAGUAGAACGCUGAAGAGAGGAGCUUGCUCUUCUUGGAUGAGUUGCGAACGGGUGAGUAACGCGUAGGUAACCUGCCUUGUAGCGGGGGAUAACUAUUGGAAACGAUAGCUAAUACCGCAUAACAAUGGAUGACACAUGUCAUUUAUUUGAAAGGGGCAAUUGCUCCACUACAAGAUGGACCUGCGUUGUAUUAGCUAGUAGGUGAGGUAACGGCUCACCUAGGCGACGAUACAUAGCCGACCUGAGAGGGUGAUCGGCCACACUGGGACUGAGACACGGCCCAGACUCCUACGGGAGGCAGCAGUAGGGAAUCUUCGGCAAUGGGGGCAACCCUGACCGAGCAACGCCGCGUGAGUGAAGAAGGUUUUCGGAUCGUAAAGCUCUGUAAGUCAAGAACGAGUGUGAGAGUGGAAAGUUCACACUGUGACGGUAGCUUACCAGAAAGGGACGGCUAACUACGUG